GAGUUUGAUCAUGGCUCAGGAUGAACGCUAGCGGCAGGCUUAACACAUGCAAGUCGAGGGGUAGCAGGGAGCUUGCUCCGCUGACGACCGGCGAACGGGUGCGUAACGCGUAUAGAAUCUACCUCUUACUAAGGGAUAGCCCAGAGAAAUUUGGAUUAAUAUCUUAUAGUAUACAGACCUGGCAUCAGGAUUGUAUUAAAGGUUACGGUAAGAGAUGACUAUGCGUCCUAUUAGCUAGAUGGUGUGGUAACGGCACACCAUGGCCACGAUAGGUAGGGGCCCUGAGAGGGGGAUCCCCCACACUGGUACUGAGACACGGACCAGACUCCUACGGGAGGCAGCAGUGAGGAAUAUUGGACAAUGGAGGCAACUCUGAUCCAGCCAUGCCGCGUGCAGGAAGACUGCCCUAUGGGUUGUAAACUGCUUUUAUACAGGAAGAAACACUCUCACGUGUGAGAGCUUGACGGUACUGUAAGAAUAAGGAUCGGCUAACUCCGUGCCAGCAGCCGCGGUAAUACGGAGGAUCCAAGCGUUAUCCGGAAUCAUUGGGUUUAAAGGGUCCGUAGGUGGAUGAUUAAGUCAGAGGUGAAAUCCUGCAGCUCAACUGUAGAAUUGCCUUUGAUACUGGUUGUCUUGAGUUAUUAUGAAGUAGUUAGAAUAUGUAGUGUAGCGGUGAAAUGCAUAGAUAUUACAUAGAAUACCAAUUGCGAAAGCAGAUUACUAAUAAUAUACUGACACUGAUGGACGAAAGCGUGGGGAGCGAACAGGAUUAGAUACCCUGGUAGUCCACGCCGUAAACGAUGGUCACUAGCUGUUCGGACUUCGGUUUGAGUGGCUAAGCGAAAGUGAUAGUGACCACCCUGGGGAGUACGUUCGCAGAUGAACUCAAAGGAAUUGACGGGGCCGCACAGCGUGGAGCAUGGUGGUUUAUCGAUGAUACGCGAGACUACAGGCUUAAUGUAGAUGACAGGUUAGAAAUAGACUUUCUUCGACAUUACAGGGGCCUGCAUGGUGUCGUCAGCUCUGCGUGGAGGGUGUCAAGAUAGGUCUAUAACGAGGCCAACCCUGGUUGGUUUAGUUGCAACGAGUCAUGGUCGAAACUCUAACGACUGCAUGCAAACUGUGAAAAGUGGGAAUACUCAAUCAUAUCGGGCGCCUUACGAGAUUCG
RNAcentral lists this ribosomal RNA (1169 nucleotides) under uncultured marine bacterium. RNAcentral describes it as "bacterial SSU rRNA". It matches the Rfam family "Bacterial small subunit ribosomal RNA", at positions 9 to 1213 of the family's 1533-position model. The record is from RNAcentral.